UAGGGAAUCUUCGGCAAUGGGGGCAACCCUGACCGAGCAACGCCACGUGAGUGAAGAAGGUUUUCGGAUCGUAAAGCUCUGUUGUAAGAGAAGAACGUGUGUGAGAGUGGAAAGUUCACACAGUGACGGUAACUUACCAGAAAGGGACGGCUAACUACGUGCUAG
RNAcentral lists this ribosomal RNA (165 nucleotides) under uncultured bacterium. RNAcentral's name for it is "partial 16S rRNA". It matches the Rfam family "Bacterial small subunit ribosomal RNA", at positions 355 to 511 of the family's 1533-position model. The record is from RNAcentral.